Molecule: small nucleolar RNA, 132 nt
Organism: Nannospalax galili (Upper Galilee mountains blind mole rat)
Lineage: Eukaryota; Metazoa; Chordata; Mammalia; Rodentia; Spalacidae
Source: Ensembl
UUUGAGACUAGAGUCACAUCCUGACAUGGUUACUUGUCCUGGUGUGCUAGAGUUCUUGAAGAAGAUCUCCUGGUCUUGGUUCACUGGUGGGAGCUGUCAGAACCCCUAUUGGUGCCAAGAUCAGAAAUAUAU